Molecule: long non-coding RNA, 332 nt
Organism: Hemicordylus capensis (graceful crag lizard)
Lineage: Eukaryota; Metazoa; Chordata; Lepidosauria; Squamata; Cordylidae
Exons: 3
Source: RefSeq, a predicted model, not a curated record
AUUACACCAGGGCCCGGGACACUAAGGAGGGUCAACUGAGACAACCUCACAGGAUGGGAUACAACUGGCCGAGAGAGGCAAUCCCGGAAAUAUACAGGUGCUAAGCCCAUAAGCGUUUUGUAGUUUUCAACAGACACUGAAAGGCAGCCAGAUUCUGUAUCCUUCAAUACUGAGACAGCAGCUUGUAGGAGUGCUUCAGACUACCAAUGAAUUUAUUGCAAAAUAAACUCCAGGAACUUCAGUCCAAAUGAAUGUGAGCAUCACUUGGUUUGCUGUGCAGUCUUCACAACUGGUCUUAUAUAUCAUCAAUAAAAUGUCACAAGUAGCCCGUA